Molecule: non-coding RNA, 26 nt
Filed under: Homo sapiens (human)
Lineage: Eukaryota; Metazoa; Chordata; Mammalia; Primates; Hominidae
Source: RNAcentral
UGAGAGUUCAUGUCACUUAACGGAGC